This 264-nucleotide long non-coding RNA is filed under the name Canis lupus familiaris (dog). Its description in RNAcentral is "lncRNA (ENSCAFG00000051681.1)". The record is from RNAcentral. Lineage: Eukaryota; Metazoa; Chordata; Mammalia; Carnivora; Canidae.
AGAGGACAGUGAUGUGCCACGGGGGAAAUGGCCAAGAGGCCAUGUUGUCACUGUAAAUCAGAAAAUUUAGGAGAGGCAGCUCUUCUGCGUGGGGACCUUGAAAUGCAAAGAAGCUCUGCUGGAGGCAAAAGAUUUCGAGGACCUGUGGUGCAGUGGACAGGACCCAGCCUGUACCCCGAGGACUCACCCCGAGAUAAACAGGAUAAAUCAUUCUCCUCUACAGUCCUCUCCUACCCUUCCUGGAGCCUCCGCUGUGCUUUGUGA